This 530-nucleotide ribosomal RNA is filed under the name Clostridioides difficile. RNAcentral describes it as "bacterial LSU rRNA". It matches the Rfam family "Bacterial large subunit ribosomal RNA", at positions 1830 to 2358 of the family's 2925-position model. The record is from RNAcentral. Lineage: Bacteria; Bacillati; Bacillota; Clostridia; Peptostreptococcales; Peptostreptococcaceae.
GUCGCAAGACGAUGUAUAGGAGCUGACGCCUGCCCGGUGCUGGAAGGUUAAGGGGAUCUGUUAGAGCAAUCGAAGCAGUGAACUUAAGCCCCAGUAAACGGCGGCCGUAACUAUACCGGGCCUAAGGUAGCGAAAUUCCUUGUCGGGUAAGUUCCGACCCGCACGAAAGGCGUAACGAUUUGUGCACUGCCUCAACAACAGUCUCGGUGAAAUUGUAAUACCUGUGAAGAUUCCGGAUACCUUCGACAGGACGGAAAGACCCCAUGGAGCUUUACUGUAGCUUGACAUUGGGUCUUGGUACUACAUGUACAGGAUAGGUGGGAGGCUUUGAAACCAGGACGCCAGUUUUGGCGGAGCCAUCCUUGGGAUACCACCCUUGUAGUACUGGGACUCUAACCAUAGGCCAUGAAUCUGGUCUUGGGACACUGUCAGGUGGGCAGUUUGACUGGGGCGGUCGCCUCCCAAAAGGUAACGGAGGCGCUCAAAGGUUCUCUCAGUACGGUCGGAAAUCGUACGUAGAGUGUAAAGGC